This 1896-nucleotide long non-coding RNA is filed under the name Nicotiana tabacum (common tobacco). Its description in RNAcentral is "long non-coding RNA (NTAB_LNC001202)". Lineage: Eukaryota; Viridiplantae; Streptophyta; Magnoliopsida; Solanales; Solanaceae. The record is from RNAcentral.
UUGAAUUCCGUUUUGGAAGCAAAGAUGAUCCGCCAUAUCAUUUAGUUUUACAAAGUUAGACUGUCGCCAAAAAACACUGCAUAAUAGUACUUAAUCAAGCUUACACAACACUUGAAGUUUAUUACAGGAUCUUCAUACCUGUCUACUCAUAGUAAAAGAACAGAAAGAAAUAUUGAUCUUUAUAGCUGUUCUGGUGAGACAACGGUAAGAAACACACCAGACCUUUAUUGAUUAAGGAACAACUAGCGACUAAAUGCAGCUCUUAUGGUGUACAGGAGGUACGUGGUAGCAAUGGGCCAUGGUACGUAGAAGGUGGCAGGUUUGUUGGUGGGGUGGAUGGUCUAGUUUAUGGAGUACUAAGCAGAAGCCCAUAUGGAGGAGGAGAAGGGGGUGAAUAUGUAGUUGGUGGUGAUGGUGGUUGGCCAUAAGUAGGUGUAGGUGGUCGUGGCUGCCUAUGAGGAGGAGGCGGCGAGUGAAUUUGUCUUGGCGGAGGAGCAGAGAAAGUCGGUGGUGAUGGUGGCUGGCCAUAAGUAGGUGUAGGUGUUCGUGGCUGCCAAUGAGGAGGAGGCGGUGAGUGAAUUUGUCUUGGCGGAGGAGGAGAGAAAGUCGGUGGUGAUGGUGGCUGGCCAUAAGUAGGUGUAGGUGGCCGUGGCUGCCUAUGAGGAGGAGGAGGCAAGUGAAUUCGUCUUGGCGGAGGAGGAGAGAAAGUCGGUGGUAGUGGCUGCACUUGGGGAGGCGGAGGCGAGUAAAUUGGUGAUGGUGGCGGUGGUGAGUAUGCAGGUGGAGGAGGUGAGUAUGUUGGUGGAGGUGGUGGUGGUUGUGCAUAUGCAGGGGGAGGAGGCGAGUAUGUAGGUGGAGGAGGAGAAUACGUUGGCGGUGGUGGUGGUGAGUAUGCAGGUGGAGGAGGCGAGUAUGUUGGUGGAAGCGGUGGUGGUUGUGCAUAUGUAGGGGGAGGAGGCGAGUAUGUAGGUGGAGGAGGAGAAUAUGUUGGUGGUGCAGGCAAAGGAGGGGAAUACGCUGGUGGAGGUGGAGGUGAUUGUCCAUAUGUGGGUGGAGGUGGCGAGAAGGAUGGUGGUGGUGGAGGAGGUGAGUAAAUUGGUGAUGAUGGCGGUGGUGGUGGCAAAUAUGUAGGUGGAGGAGGGGAAUAUGAUGGUGGUGGCGGUGGUGAGUAUACGGGCGGAGGAGGCGAGUAAAUUGGUGAUGAUGGCAGUGGCAAAUAUGUAGGUGGAGGAGGGGAGUACGUUGGUGGUGGUGAGUAUGCUGGAGGAGGAGGCGAGAAAGUUGGUGUUGGUGGUGGAGAUGGUGAGUAUGCAGGUGGAGGAGGCGAGUAAAUUGGUGAUGGUGGUGGUGGAGAGUAUGUAGGUGGAGGAGGCGAGUACGUUGGUGAGGGUUGGGGUGAUUGUGCAUAUGCAGGUGGAGGAGGUGAGUAAGUUGGUGGUUGUGGCUGCCUACGGGGAGAAGGUGGUAGAUGUCUUAGGGGUGAAGGUUGAUGAGUAGGUGGUGCAUGUCGAUGAGUAGGUGGUGCAUGUCGAUGAGUGGGUGGUUGUGGUUGAUGUCCACGUGAAGGUGGUGAUGGUGUUGGUUGUACGUGUGUAGGUGGAGGAGGUGAGUAAGUCGGUGGUGGUUGCACUUGAGGAGAAGGCGAAUAAAUUGGUGUCGGCGGUGGUUGUGCAUAUGUAGGUGGUGGAGGAUGUCCAUGUCGACUCGGAGGUGAAGGUUGACGAUGGCUUGGGGGGUGUUGUCCUCUAGGUGGUGUGUGCCCUCCGGAGGGUGGUGCAUGUCCAUGAGAAGGUGAAGGUGGUCUUUGCCCAUGCGAUGGUAGAUGGCCGCCACCAUGAGAGGGUGGAGGUGCACCAUAGGACGGUGGCGGAUGACUUGGAGAAAUCACAGGAGAUG